Molecule: long non-coding RNA, 442 nt
Filed under: Equus asinus (donkey)
Lineage: Eukaryota; Metazoa; Chordata; Mammalia; Perissodactyla; Equidae
Description: lncRNA (ENSEASG00005025182.1)
Source: RNAcentral
UGAGGACAUUGUGCUAAGCUGGUCACGAAAGGACAAUAUGGUUACCUCUGGAGGAGAUGACAGGAGCAGGACAAGCAGAAACAAAGUUGCAAACGUUUUCAUGGGGCUCAUCCCUUCCCACUAGAAUUGGUCAGCUCCAGCAUCCAUGUCUGCACUGUGUAUCUCAUUUUCCCUGGCUGUAAUAACUCAUUGGCCUAGGAUGGACACCUUACCCAAGCCAAGAAUUGAGAUAUGUGAUCUAAUCAGCCCAGUCUAAGAACUGGUUUGAACCAUAACCAUCAACCUCUCUCAGGAGAGUGAUUAACAGCCAUAUUGCACCGGGGCAGAGGCAGGGGUAGAGAGAAGAGCCCAAAAGACAUGGAGGGAGAUGUCCCAAUGGCUUUGCACUUCGCUGUUCUGGCUCUUUCCUACAGCUUUAUUGUAUUCUUGGUCUUCAGAUUCC